GGUUCAGGAUGAACGCUAGCGACAGGCCUAACACAUGCAAGUCGAGGGGCAGCACAAGGAGUAAUCUGAGGUGGCGACCGGCGCACGGGUGAGUAACACGUAUGCAACCUGGCUGUAAGAGGGGGAAUAACCCCGGAGAAAUCCGGACUAAUACCGCAUAAUACUUAGAAUCCGCAUGGAUUUUAGUUAAACAUUUAUGGCUUACAGAUGGGCAUGCGUAUGAUUAGCUGGUUGGAGAGGUAACGGCUCCCCAAGGCAACGAUCAUUAGGGGUUCUGAGAGGAAGGUCCCCCACACUGGUACUGAGACACGGACCAGACUCCUACGGGAGGCAGCAGUGAGGAAUAUUGGUCAAUGGACGCAAGUCUGAACCAGACCCAAGUCGCGUGAAGGAAGAAUGUCCUAUGGAUUGUAAACUUCUUUUGAAGGGGAAUAAAGUACGGUACGUGUACCGUUUUGUAUGUACCCUUCGAAUAAGGAUCGGCCAACUCCGUGCCAGCCGCCGC
Molecule: ribosomal RNA, 505 nt
Filed under: uncultured bacterium
Lineage: Bacteria
Description: bacterial SSU rRNA
Rfam family: Bacterial small subunit ribosomal RNA
Source: RNAcentral